AAGGCAGAGUGGGUGCCUGGGAAUUGAGCCUCGGUGGUUGGGGGUCAGGGGUGGGGUUGGAAAGCUAGUGAGGAAGGUGGACCACAGUACUGUGUAGAUGCCUGGACGGGGGCUGCCUGGGAUCCUCCUCUGAGGGUCUUGCCUGGGGACUCAAACCAGGAUUCUAUAGACAACGUCUUCACGUGGCAAGUUAUUUUUGCUGUGAACCCACGUGGUCGCGCCUGGUAAUUAUAGGGUAAAAGGAAUUAAGCAAGACAUAAUUUCUCCCCAUCAAACCUGACUGUUUUACGUCUCCACCUCGCACCGGCAGGCAGGCUUUCUCCCUUCACAGGUGCCACUUUGAUUUCAGUCACGUUGGAAAGGAAUUUGAAACAUCUUCAAAGUGAUUAAAGAGAGGAAGUCAUUGCAAAUGUGGGCUAAAUGUAAUAAUCACAUAAACUGUUUAUGGCCAUGGAGCUUUCAGGAGGGAAGGCCUUGUGGUAGCUGACAGUCGGGGUGGGGCUGGGGCUGGUGAGAACAGUGGUGGCAGAGGUGGCGACGGCACUCUCAGCCUCAGCUUCACUGUGUGGGGUCCAUGGUCCACGUCUGCUCCCUAUGGCAUCCCAAGGGGACUCUUUCAUGUUCAGGGAAUUUGACCUUUGAGUCUAGACCUGGGACUGAGUGGGUGAAACCCUGGCUAAUAAUUCACCAAAGACUCCAAGACAUAAGGGUACUCCUGUGACUCCCUCCCUCCAUGCAGGC
This 741-nucleotide long non-coding RNA is filed under the name Homo sapiens (human). RNAcentral's name for it is "HSALNT0236478". Lineage: Eukaryota; Metazoa; Chordata; Mammalia; Primates; Hominidae. The record is from RNAcentral.